UGGGGAAUUUUCCGCAAUGGGCGAAAGCCUGACGGAGCGAUGCCGCGUGGAGGUGGAAGGCCUACGGGUCGUCAACUUCUUUUCUCGGAGAAGAAACAAUGACGGUAUCUGAGGAAUAAGCAUCGGCUAACUCUGUGUCAG
This 141-nucleotide ribosomal RNA is filed under the name uncultured bacterium. Its description in RNAcentral is "partial 16S rRNA". It matches the Rfam family "Bacterial small subunit ribosomal RNA", at positions 355 to 511 of the family's 1533-position model. The record is from RNAcentral.